Macrobrachium nipponense is the source of this 1212-nucleotide long non-coding RNA. RefSeq lists it as uncharacterized. NCBI's taxonomy places the organism in Eukaryota, Metazoa, Arthropoda, Malacostraca, Decapoda, Palaemonidae. The transcript has 3 exons. The record is from RefSeq and is a predicted model, not a curated record.
UCAUACAGUCAUGCUUCUCAGUGAGACUUCGUAGUUCGUAAACAUAUUAGUAGGCUCGUCUUUAAACAGUGUUGAGAAUCAUUUGCUGUAUUUUCUCACAUUUUUUCUGUUUAUCCGCCAUUAUUGUUAGUACUAACUAUGUCCAGUAUUGAUAGUGAACGUUUUGAUGACCCACAGCCUACUGCAUAGAGUGAUAGUAGGUUUAGAAUAUAUAGGUUCAUGGAACAGGAACAUCUUUGGCAAAUCGCAAUAUGAAAGAUCUCUGACGUAAACCAGCUACUGCAGAAACUCGGAUAAGCCCAGGUAUUUUCAUGGAGGUGUUAAAGGCCCAGUGGCGGUGCGAGGGGAAGAGGAAUCUGCGAAGAGAGGAGAAGGAGGAAGAGAAUUAGAAGAUAAAAGUGAGAGGAAGAGAGAGAGAUAGAGAAGAGCUAAGGUAGAAGAGGAGGAAAAAGAAUGACGACGGAAAAAAGCAGAUAGAGAAGAGGGAGGGAAGAAAGGCUGAUAGACAAGGAAGAAGAAGAGAGGCAGUGAAGAAGAUGGAAAGGAAUGAGAUAAACAGCGAGAAGAACAGACGGAAAUGCAGGAAAAUUAAUGAAAAAAAUAUAAAUGGUAGAGAAAAUAGAGAGAUUACGAAGAAAAAGAAAACACGAGAAGGGAAGAAUUGAGGGGAAGGCAUUUUCCUCCUCCUCUUCUUCUUCUUCUCUCAGUGCGAACAAAAGUGAGGCCUCCGAAAGCAGCAGUUGUUACAAACAUUUAGUCAGAUAUUGUCAGGUGGACAAAGGCCGUCCACCGAGGCAUUGUCUCCUCAUGAAAUCUGGCCUCCGACGGACAAUUGAACCGAUGCGGUCGACCUCGAGGGUGGGGUGUCGCACCCCUAGAAGGUUCGGGGGCGGGAGGGUACGUACCUCCGUUGUGGUAUGGUUGUUUCAGAGGGGAGGGGGCGGGGGAAAUGGGGUUACUAUCUAAGGGCAUCCCUACCAACCCACUUCCCUCAUAGUCCCAAGCGUGUAUAUCCUCUACCACUCAUUAGUCAUAUGUUUAUCUGCUGGCUGGUACAAGAAAUGCAUUAAAUCGAUAUUAACUUAAUAUAAUUUCUGUUGCAUUAUCGGAGAAUUUUCACGCAAAAAGUGUGGAUAUUAAAACGUAAGUACCGUAGAUCCAGCAAAGACAAAAUCAAACACCCCAAAACGAAAAAAAAAAAAAAAAGACAAA